This 1467-nucleotide ribosomal RNA is filed under the name Saccharum spontaneum (wild sugarcane). RNAcentral's name for it is "bacterial SSU rRNA". It matches the Rfam family "Bacterial small subunit ribosomal RNA". Lineage: Eukaryota; Viridiplantae; Streptophyta; Magnoliopsida; Poales; Poaceae. The record is from RNAcentral.
AGAGUUCGAUCUGGCUCAGGAUGAACGCUGGCGGCAUGCUAAACACAUGCAAGUCGAACGGGAAGUGGUGUUUCCCGUGGCGAACGGGUGAGUAGUAACGCGUAAGAACCUGCCCUUGGGAGGGGAACAACAACUGGAAACGGUUGCUAAUACCCGUAGGGCGAGGACAAAAGGGAGAAAUCCGCCCAAGGAGGGGCUCGCGUUGAUUAGUAGGUUGGUGAGGCAAUAGCUUACCAAGGCGCUGAUCAGUUAGCGGUCCGAGAGGAUGAUCAGCCACACUGGGACUGAGACACGGCCCAGACUCCUACGGGAGGCAGCAGUGGGGAAUUUUCCGCAAUGGGCGAAAGCCUGACGGAGCAAUGCCGCGUGGAGGUGGGAAGGCUACGGGUCGUCAACCUCUUUUCUGGCGAAGAAGAAACAAUGACGGUAUAUGAGGAAUAAGCAUCGGCUAACCUGUGCCAGCAGCCGGGUAAGACAAGGAGCAAGCGUUAUCCGGAAUGAUUGGGAGUAAAGGUCUGUAGGUGGCUUUUCCAAGUCCGCCGUCAAAUCCAGGGCUCAAAUCCUGGACCGCGGUGGGAAACUACCAAAACUGGAGUACGGUAGGGGCAGAGGGAAUUUCCGGUGGCGGGGUUGAAAUGAUUGAGAUCGGAAAGAACACCAACGGCGAACGGACGAAAAGCACUCUGCUGGGGCCGACACUGACACUGAGAGACGAAAGCUAGGGGAGCAAAGGGAUUAGAGACGCCAGUAGUCUAGCCGUAAAAACGAUGGAUACAGGUGCUGUGCGACUCGACCCGUGAGUGCUGUUGUAGCGAACGCGUUAAGUAUCCAGCCUGGGGCGUACGUUCGCAAGAAUGAAACCAAGAAAUUGACGGGGGCCCGCACAAGCGUGGAGCAUGUGUUUAAUUCGAUUGCAAGCGAAGAACCUUACCAGGGCUUGACAUGCGCGAAAUCUCUUGAUAAGAGAGGGGUGCCUCGGGAACGGGACACAGUGGUGCAUGGCUGUCGUCAGCUCGUGCCGUAAGGGUUGGGUAAGUCUCGCAACGAGGCAACCUCGUGUUUUAGUGCCACUAUGAGUUUGGACCCUGAACAGACCGCCGGUGUUAAGCCGGAGGAAGGCAGAGGAUGAGGCCAAGUCAUCAUGCCCCUUAUGCCCUGGGCGACCCACCCACGUGCUAACAAUGGGAGGGGGGACAAAGGGUCGCGAUCUCGCGAGGGUGAGUAACUCCAAAACCCGUCCUCAGGUCGGAUUGCAGGCUGCAACUCGCUGCAUGAAGCAGGAAUCGCUAGUAAUCGCCGGUCAGCCAUACGGCGGUGUGACCGUUCCCGGGCCUUGUACACACCGCAAGUCACACUAUAGGCAGCUGGCAGGUUGAUCAUGACCCUUACCGUAAGGAGGGGAUGCCUAGGAUUAGGCAUUGCGAUGAGGAAGUCGUAACAUGGUAGCCGUACUGGAAGGUGCGGCUG